AUGACUCUUCUAAAUGAACAAACAAAAAAUCAAAGAAAUAAAUAGAAAGUAAACAACUGGGCAUCCUAUUUGCAACCCUCUUGUGGAUUAGGAUCUAGGUCUUGGUCCUCUUGAUCUGAAAUAGUUAAUGAAAGAGUGAGCUACACUAAUCCAAUAAGAAUGUCACGCUACUCACCGAUACAGAAAUGAAAGUUGGUAAAAAUCAUAAAAAUAACUAAUG
RNAcentral lists this long non-coding RNA (220 nucleotides) under Carica papaya (papaya). RNAcentral's name for it is "long non-coding RNA (CPAP_LNC009225)". Lineage: Eukaryota; Viridiplantae; Streptophyta; Magnoliopsida; Brassicales; Caricaceae. The record is from RNAcentral.